UCUGGCGACCGGCGCACGGGUGAGUAACACGUAUCCAACCUGCCCUUUACUCGGGGAUAGCCUUUCGAAAGAAAGAUUAAUACCCGAUGGCAUAAUGAUUCCGCAUGGUUUGAUUGUUAAAGGAUUCCGGUAAAGGAUGGGGAUGCGUUCCAUUAGGUUGUUGGUGAGGUAACGGCUCACCAAGCCUUCGAUGGAUAGGGGUUCUGAGAGGAAGGUCCCCCACAUUGGAACUGAGACACGGUCCAA
This 246-nucleotide ribosomal RNA is filed under the name uncultured bacterium. RNAcentral describes it as "partial 16S ribosomal RNA". It matches the Rfam family "Bacterial small subunit ribosomal RNA", at positions 87 to 334 of the family's 1533-position model. The record is from RNAcentral.